This 99-nucleotide transfer RNA is filed under the name Sodiomyces alkalinus F11. It matches the Rfam family "tRNA". From Rfam's summary of the family: Transfer RNA (tRNA) molecules are approximately 80 nucleotides in length. Their secondary structure includes four short double-helical elements and three loops (D, anti-codon, and T loops). Lineage: Eukaryota; Fungi; Ascomycota; Sordariomycetes; Glomerellales; Plectosphaerellaceae. The record is from Rfam by way of RNAcentral.
GGCAGGAUGGCCGAGUUGGUUAUGGCGCCAGGUUAAGGUUAACCUUGACAUCUCUUCCUGGUGGGGCAACCCUCGUGGGUUCAAAUCCCACUCCUGUCA